RNAcentral lists this ribosomal RNA (494 nucleotides) under uncultured bacterium. RNAcentral describes it as "partial 16S ribosomal RNA". It matches the Rfam family "Bacterial small subunit ribosomal RNA", at positions 28 to 506 of the family's 1533-position model. The record is from RNAcentral.
GACGAACACUGGCGGCGUGCCUAAUACAUGCAAGUAGAACGCUGAAGGAGGAGCUUGCUUCUCUGGAUGAGUUGCGAACGGGUGAGUAACGCGUAGGUAACCUGCCUGGUAGCGGGGGAUAACUAUUGGAAACGAUAGCUAAUACCGCAUAAUAGUAGAUGUUGCAUGACAUUUGCUUAAAAGGUGCAAUUGCAUCACUACCAGAUGGGCCUGCGUUGUAUUAGCUAGUUGGUGGGGUAACGGCUCACCAAGGCGACGAUACAUAGCCGACCUGAGAGGGUGUUCGGCCACACUGGGACGGAGACACGGCCCAGACUCCUACGGGAGGCACAAGUAGGGAAUCUUCGGCAAUGGCCGGAAGUCUAACCGAGCAACGCCGGGGGAGUGAAGAAGGUUUUCGGAUCGUAAAGCCUUUUUUUAAGGGAAGAACGGGUGUGGGGGGGGAAAGUUCACACUGGGGCGGUUUUUUACCAAAAAGGGACGGCUAAUUACGU